This 305-nucleotide ribosomal RNA is filed under the name uncultured bacterium. RNAcentral describes it as "partial 16S ribosomal RNA". It matches the Rfam family "Bacterial small subunit ribosomal RNA", at positions 505 to 809 of the family's 1533-position model. The record is from RNAcentral.
ACAGCAGCAGCCACGGUAAUACGUAGGGUGCAAGCGUUAAUCGGAAUUACUGGGCGUAAAGCGUGCGCAGGCGGUUAUAUAAGACAGAUGUGAAAUCCCCGGGCUCAACCUGGGAACUGCAUUUGUGACUGUAUAGCUAGAGUACGGCAGAGGGGGAUGGAAUUCCGCGUGUAGCAGUGAAAUGCGUAGAUAUGCGGAGGAACACCGAUGGCGAAGGCAAUCCCCUGGGCCUGUACUGACGCUCAUGCACGAAAGCGUGGGGAGCAAACAGGAUUAGAUACCCCUGUAGUCCCUGUCUCUUAUAU